CCUACGGGGAGCUGCAGUGGGGAAUAUUGGUCAAUGGGGGGAACCCUGAUCCAGCCAUGCCGCGUGUGUGAAGAAGGCCCUCGGGUUGUAAAGCACUUUCAGUGAGGAAGAACGCCUGGUGGUUAAUACCCAUCAGGAAAGACAUCACUCACAGAAGAAGCACCGGCUAACUCCGUGCCAGCAGCCGCGGUAAUACGGAGGGUGCGAGCGUUAAUCGGAAUUACUGGGCGUAAAGCGCGCGUAGGUGGCUUGAUAAGCCGGUUGUGAAAGCCCCGGGCUCAACCUGGGAACGGCAUCCGGAACUGUCAAGCUAGAGUGCAGGAGAGGAAGGUAGAAUUCCCGGUGUAGCGGUGAAAUGCGUAGAGAUCGGGAGGAAUACCAGUGGCGAAGGCGGCCUUCUGGACUGACACUGACACUGAGGUGCGAAAGCGUGGGUAGCAAACAGGAUUAGAUACCCUUGUAGUC
RNAcentral lists this ribosomal RNA (465 nucleotides) under Vreelandella stevensii. RNAcentral's name for it is "partial 16S ribosomal RNA". It matches the Rfam family "Bacterial small subunit ribosomal RNA", at positions 338 to 795 of the family's 1533-position model. Lineage: Bacteria; Pseudomonadati; Pseudomonadota; Gammaproteobacteria; Oceanospirillales; Halomonadaceae. The record is from RNAcentral.